GUGGGGAAUCUUAGACAAUGGGCGCAAGCCUGAUCUAGCCAUGCCGCGUGAGCGAUGAAGGCCUUAGGGUUGUAAAGCUCUUUCGUGGGGGAAGAUAAUGACUGUACCCCAAGAAGAAGCCCCGGCUAACUCCGUGCCAGCAGCCGCGGUAAUACGGAGGGGGCUAGCGUUGUUCGGAAUUACUGGGCGUAAAGCGCACGUAGGCGGACUGGAAAGUCAGGGGUGAAAUCCCGGGGCGCAACCCCGGAACUGCCUUUGAAACUCCCAGUCUUGAGUUCGAGAGAGGUGAGUGGAAUUCCGAGUGUAGAGGUGAAAUUCGUAGAUAUUCGGAGGAACACCAGUGGCGAAGGCGGCUCACUGGCUCGAUACUGACGCUGAGGUGCGAAAGCGUGGGGAGCAAACAGGAUUAGAAACCCCGGUAGUCC
RNAcentral lists this ribosomal RNA (425 nucleotides) under uncultured bacterium. Its description in RNAcentral is "partial 16S ribosomal RNA". It matches the Rfam family "Bacterial small subunit ribosomal RNA", at positions 354 to 796 of the family's 1533-position model. The record is from RNAcentral.